Molecule: ribosomal RNA, 279 nt
Filed under: uncultured bacterium
Lineage: Bacteria
Description: partial 16S ribosomal RNA
Rfam family: Bacterial small subunit ribosomal RNA
Source: RNAcentral
UGCCAGCCGCCGCGGUAAUACAGAGGGUGCUAGCGUUAUUCGGAAUUACUGGGCGUAAAGCGCAUGUAGGUGGGAUAUCAAGUCAGGUGUGAAAUCCCGGGGCUCAACCUCGGAAUUGCAUUUGAAACUGGUAUUCUUGAGUCUGGAAGGGGUAAGCGGAAUUCCUGGUGUAGAGGUGAAAUUCGUAGGUAUCAGGAGGAACACCUGAGGCGAAGGCGGCUUACUGGUCCAGCACUGACACUCAGACACGAAAGCGUGGGGAGCAAACAGGAUUAGAUA